GGGGAACCCAUGCAAAUGGGUCGGAGGCAGCUGUCGAAGGUGGGGUUGGUAAUUGGGGUGAAGUCGUAACAAGGUAUCCGUACCGGAAGGUGCGGAUGGAUCACCUCCUUUCUAAGGAGAACAGGGAGUAAGGCAGAGAGAAAGAGGUUUAACCUUUUGUAUCUCACCUCACACUUCCCGAAUCCUAUGGUCGAUGACCACUUUUAGUCUUCUGUUGGUUUUAUAUAAUUUUGUAUUUGAUAUUGUAAAUUAGAGAUAGUUUACAACUAAAAUACAAAAGCAACUCCGGAAUCAAAUUAGGAGUACGCAGUAGGUUUCAUCAGUUCAUCAUCGCCCUGCCGGGCUUGAUUCACUGGAAACCCUUGCGUGGGACACACCGAGGUUCGUCUACGCCCCAAGGGGCUUGACUCACCAGGUCGUGUCCGCAAGUUCUUUGACAAUUGCACAUAGGAAGAAAGAAGCAGGAACAAUUUCAUUUGAAGUCAUUCAGAUGAGAGAGUUCUCUCGAAGCGAAAAUA
RNAcentral lists this unclassified non-coding RNA (518 nucleotides) under uncultured Syntrophomonadaceae bacterium. RNAcentral's name for it is "16S-23S ribosomal RNA intergenic spacer". The stretch from base 1 to 111 matches the Rfam family "Bacterial small subunit ribosomal RNA", at positions 1423 to 1533 of the family's 1533-position model. Lineage: Bacteria; Bacillati; Bacillota; Clostridia; Eubacteriales; Syntrophomonadaceae. The record is from RNAcentral.